AAUCAACGCUGGCGGCGUGCCUCAGACAUGCAAGUCGAACGAUUAAACUCUCCUUCGGGGGAGAUAUAAAGUGGCGCACGGGUGAGUAACACGUAGGUAAUCUACCUUUGAGUGGGGAAUAACAAUCGGAAACGAUUGCUAAUACCGCAUAAUGCAGCGGCAUCAUAAGAUGACAGUUGUUAAAGCGAGCAAUCGCGCUUAAAGAGGAGCCUGCGGCAGAUAGCUAGUUGGUAAGGUAAUGGCUUACCAAGGCUACGAUCUGUAACCGACCUGAGAGGGUGGUCGGUCACACUGACACUGAAUAACGGGUCAGACUCCUACGGGAGGCAGCAGUCGGGAAUUUUGGGCAAUGGGCGAAAGCCUGACCCAGCAACGCCGCGUGAAGGAUG
This 389-nucleotide ribosomal RNA is filed under the name uncultured bacterium. RNAcentral describes it as "bacterial SSU rRNA". It matches the Rfam family "Bacterial small subunit ribosomal RNA", at positions 32 to 410 of the family's 1533-position model. The record is from RNAcentral.